Molecule: ribosomal RNA, 254 nt
Filed under: uncultured bacterium
Lineage: Bacteria
Description: partial 16S ribosomal RNA
Rfam family: Bacterial small subunit ribosomal RNA
Source: RNAcentral
UACGGAGGGGGCGAGCGUUAUUCGGAAUUAUUGGGCGUAAAGAGCUCGUAGGUGGUUCGGUAAGUCGGAUGUGAAAUCUCCAGGCUCAACCUGGAGGGGUCAUUCGAUACUGCCGUGACUAGAGUUCGGUAGGGGAGUGUGGAAUUCCUGGUGGAGCGGUGAAAUGCGCAGAUAUCAGGAGGAACACCCGUAGCGAAGGCGGCACUCUGGGCCGAUACUGACACUGAGACGCGAAAGCGUGGGGAGCGAACAGG